NAACCAACAGGGAUUGCCUCAGUAACGGCGAGUGAAGCGGCAAAAGCUCAAAUUUGAAAUCUGACGUCUUCGGCGUCCGAGUUGUAAUUUGAAGAUGUUUUCUCCGAGCAGUCCUUUAUCUAUGUUCCUUGGAACAGGACGUCAUAGAGGGUGAGAAUCCCGUAUGAUUUGGGCUCCUGCUCUUUUGUGAGUUUUCAUCGAAGAGUCGAGUUGUUUGGGAAUGCAGCUCUAAGUGGGUGGUAAAUUCCAUCUAAAGCUAAAUAUUGGCGAGAGACCGAUAGCGAACAAGUACAGUGAUGGAAAGAUGAAAAGAACUCUGAAGAGAGAGUGAAAAAGUACGUGAAAUUGCUGAAAGGGAAGGGCUUGAGGUCAGACUUGGUGUUUUACGAUUAUCUUCCCCUUGUGGGUUGUGCACUCGUUUCUCACUGGGCCAACAUCAGUUUUUCUUGCGGAGCACGCUUAGGAAUGUGGCUCUCUUCGGAGAGUGUUAUAGCCUUUGUACGAUUCGCUUGGGAGACUGAGGACUGCGCUUUAUGCUAGGAUGUUGGCGUAAUGACCUUAAGCCGC
This 567-nucleotide ribosomal RNA is filed under the name Saccharomycopsis synnaedendra. RNAcentral's name for it is "eukaryotic LSU rRNA". It matches the Rfam family "Eukaryotic large subunit ribosomal RNA", at positions 62 to 648 of the family's 3401-position model. Lineage: Eukaryota; Fungi; Ascomycota; Saccharomycetes; Ascoideales; Saccharomycopsidaceae. The record is from RNAcentral.